UGGAGCGGGUGCAUGAUCGCUCAGGUGUUUAAAAAAAAUCUGAGAGGAAAGUCCGAACUCCGCAGGGCAGGAUGGUUCGUAACACGAACGCCGGGUGACCGGCGGAAAGUGCCACAGAAAAUAUACCGCCGGAUCUUCUGAUUCGGUAAGGGUGAAAUGGCGAGGUAAAAGCUCACCGCUUGUAUAGUGAUAUACAAGGCAGGGUAAACCCCAUCCGGAGCAAGACCAAAUAGGAAGACGUCCCACGGGCUGCCCGCCCGAAGUCUUCGGGUAGGUUGCAAGAGGUGUCGGGCGACCGGCAUCCCAGUGAAAUGAUCAUGACCCCGUAAGGGGAACAGGAUUCGGCUUAUAGCCCGCUCCAUUUC
RNAcentral lists this RNase P RNA (365 nucleotides) under Desulfocapsa sp. RNAcentral's name for it is "RNase P RNA component class A". It matches the Rfam family "Bacterial RNase P class A". Rfam says of the family: Ribonuclease P (RNase P) is a ubiquitous endoribonuclease, found in archaea, bacteria and eukarya as well as chloroplasts and mitochondria. Its best characterised activity is the generation of mature 5'-ends of tRNAs by cleaving the 5'-leader elements of precursor-tRNAs. Lineage: Bacteria; Pseudomonadati; Thermodesulfobacteriota; Desulfobulbia; Desulfobulbales; Desulfocapsaceae. The record is from RNAcentral.